GGGGGGUGCAAGCGUUGUUCGGAAUUAUUGGGCGUAAAGCGCGUGUAGGCGGUUUGUUAAGUCUGUUGUGAAAGCCCUGGGCUCAACCCAGGAAGUGCACUGGAUACUGGCAGACUUGAAUACGGGAGAGGGUAGUGGAAUUCCUGGCGUAGGAGUGAAAUCCGUAGAUAUCAGGAGGAACACCGGUGGCGAAGGCGGCUACCUGGACCGAUAUUGACGCUGAGACGCGAAAGCGUGGGUAGCAAACAGGAUUAGAUACCCUGGUAGUCCACGCCGUAAACGAUGAGUACUAGGUGUUGCGGGUAUUGACCCCUGCAGUGCCGCAGCUAACGCAUUAAGUACUCCGCCUGGGAAGUACGGUCGCAAGACUA
This 371-nucleotide ribosomal RNA is filed under the name uncultured bacterium. Its description in RNAcentral is "bacterial SSU rRNA". It matches the Rfam family "Bacterial small subunit ribosomal RNA", at positions 527 to 896 of the family's 1533-position model. The record is from RNAcentral.